GUCUAGGUGGCAGAUCCCGGCUAAUGCAGAAGACCUAAGCCCUUCUCACGGAGGUUCAACUCCCCCCCUAGACU
RNAcentral lists this transfer RNA (74 nucleotides) under Scolichthys greenwayi. RNAcentral describes it as "tRNA-Leu". It matches the Rfam family "tRNA". Rfam says of the family: Transfer RNA (tRNA) molecules are approximately 80 nucleotides in length. Their secondary structure includes four short double-helical elements and three loops (D, anti-codon, and T loops). Lineage: Eukaryota; Metazoa; Chordata; Actinopteri; Cyprinodontiformes; Poeciliidae. The record is from RNAcentral.